RNAcentral lists this ribosomal RNA (1287 nucleotides) under metagenome. Its description in RNAcentral is "bacterial SSU rRNA". It matches the Rfam family "Bacterial small subunit ribosomal RNA", at positions 8 to 1316 of the family's 1533-position model. The record is from RNAcentral.
AGAGUUUGAUCCUGGCUCAGGACGAACGCUGGCGGCGCGCCUAACACAUGCAAGUCGAACGAGCGAGAGAGAGCUUGCUUUCUCGAGCGAGUGGCGAACGGGUGAGUAACGCGUGAGGAACCUGCCUCAAAGAGGGGGACAUCAGUUGGAAACGACUGCUAAUACCGCAUAAGCCCACAGCUCGGCAUCGAGCAGAGGGAAAAGGAGCAAUCGGCUUUGAGAUGGCCUCGCGUCCGAUUAGCUAGUUGGUGAGGUAACGGCCCACCAAGGCGACGAACGGUAGCCGGACUGAGAGGUUGAACGGCCACAUUUGGACUGAGACACGGCCCAGACUCCUACGGGAGGCAGCAGUGGGGAAUAUUGCACAAUGGGGGAAACCCUGAUGCAGCGACGCCGCGUGGAGGAAGAAGGUCUUCGGAUUGUAAACUCCUGUUGUUGAGGAAGAUAAUGACGGUACUCAACAAGGAAGUGACGGCUAACUACGUGCCAGCAGCCGCGGUAAAACGUAGGUCACAAGCGUUGUCCGGAAUUACUGGGUGUAAAGGGAGCGCAGGCGGGAAGACAAGUUGGAAGUGAAAUCCAUGGGCUUAACCCAUGAACUGCUUUCAAAACUGUUUUUCUUGAAUAGUGCAGAGGUAGGCGGAAUUCCCGGUGUAGCGGUGGAAUGCGUAGAUAUCGGGAGGAACACCAGUGGCGAAGGCGGCCUACUGGGCACCAACUGACGCUGAGGCUCGGAAGUGUGGGUAGCAAACAGGAUUAGAUACCCUGGUAGUCCACACUGUAAACGAUGAUUACUAGGUGUUGGAGGAUUGACCCCUUCAGUGCCGCAGUUAACACAAUAAGUAAUCCACCUGGGGAGUACGACCGCAAGGUUGAAACUCAAAGGAAUUGACGGGGGCCCGCACAAGCAGUGGAGUAUGUGGUUUAAUUCGACGCAACGCGAAGAACCUUACCAAGUCUUGACAUCCUGCGACGCACAUAGAAAUAUGUGUUUCCUUCGGGACGCAGAGACAGGUGGUGCAUGGUUGUCGUCAGCUCGUGUCGUGAGAUGUUGGGUUAAGUCCCGCAACGAGCGCAACCCUUAUGGUCAGUUACUACGCAAGAGGACUCUGGCCAGACUGCCGUUGACAAAACGGAGGAAGGUGGGGAUGACGUCAAAUCAUCAUGCCCUUUAUGACUUGGGCUACACACGUACUACAAUGGCGUUAAACAAAGAGAAGCAAGACCGCGAGGUGGAGCAAAACUCAGAAACAACGUCCCAGUUCGGACUGCAGGCUGCAACUCGCC